Molecule: long non-coding RNA, 301 nt
Organism: Zalophus californianus (California sea lion)
Lineage: Eukaryota; Metazoa; Chordata; Mammalia; Carnivora; Otariidae
Exons: 3
Source: RefSeq, a predicted model, not a curated record
GGCAGCGCCCGCGGCUCCCCACCCCUCACCUCGCCGAGCCCAGCAGAGGGAGCCGAGCAAGCGUUCCCGCCGGUCCCGGAGGCUGAGUUAUCUGAAGAGGAGCAGGAGAGAGAGUCAAGCUCAGAAAGUGAGAGAACAGCGGAACUGGAAAGGUCCUGAGGUUGACAAGACAGAACUCAGGGGCUCCGGAAUGGGAAAAACGUCGUCAGGACAGAAAACAUCUUCUAAAGAUCAGAGUUAACAGGAAUCAACAUGAAGCAGGCCAUACCAGCAACCAAAAAUGAGGACAGUGCAUCUACUC